AACGAACGCUGGCGGCGUGGAUAAGACAUGCAAGUCGAACGAGGAACUCUUAGCUUGCUUUGGGUUCCUAGUGGCGGACGAGUGAGUAACACGUGAGUCACCUGCCCUUAAGUCAGGAAUAGCCCGGGGAAACUCGGAUUAAUACCUGAUGUGAUAGUAGUAUUAAAGGUGCCUUCGGGUGCCGCUUAAGGAUGGGCUCGCGGCCUAUCAGCUUGUUGGUGAGGUAAAGGCUCACCAAGGCGACGACGGGUAGCUGGUCUGAGAGGAUGAUCAGUCACGCUGGAACUGAGACACGGUCCAGACACCUACGGGUGGCAGCAGUCGAGAAUCAUUCACAAUGGGCGAAAGCCUGAUGGUGCGACGCCGCGUGGAGGAUGAAGGCCCUAGGGUUGUAAACUCCUGUCAUCAAAGAGUAAAGCUUAGGUGUUAAUACCAUCUUAAGCCUGAUAGUAUUUGAAGAGGAAGGGGCGGCUAACUCCG
This 480-nucleotide ribosomal RNA is filed under the name uncultured Verrucomicrobiaceae bacterium. RNAcentral's name for it is "bacterial SSU rRNA". It matches the Rfam family "Bacterial small subunit ribosomal RNA", at positions 29 to 505 of the family's 1533-position model. The record is from RNAcentral. Lineage: Bacteria; Pseudomonadati; Verrucomicrobiota; Verrucomicrobiia; Verrucomicrobiales; Verrucomicrobiaceae.